Molecule: long non-coding RNA, 639 nt
Organism: Oncorhynchus tshawytscha (Chinook salmon)
Lineage: Eukaryota; Metazoa; Chordata; Actinopteri; Salmoniformes; Salmonidae
Source: Ensembl
GGUUGAGACACACAGAGAGGUUGAGACACACAGAGAGGUUGAGACACAAAGAGAGGUUGAGACACAGAGAGGUUGAGACACAAAGAGAGGUUGAGACACAAAGAGAGGUUAAGACAAAGAGGUUAAGACAAAGAGGUUAAGACACAAAGAGAGGUUAAGACACAAAGAGAGGUUAAGACACAAAGAGAGGUUAAGACACAAAGAGAGGUUAAGACACAAAGAGAGGUUAAGACACAAAGAGAGGUUAAGACACAAAGAGAGGUUAAGACACAAAGAGAGGUUAAGACACAAAGAGAUCUACAUACAUGGCAUUUACAGAGAGAGAUUGAGCUCUAGAGCAAACAAAUGAUGGGGUUUUUAAACCAAGGGAAAGGAACUGUGAUAGGGUAGGAAACAGGAGGAGGUGUGUCUUCUGAUUGAUGAUUGAUUGUUGACUGAUUGGGGAGUGAUGAUGUUCACCUGUGAGGGGAGAAGGAGAGAAAAGAAACACACACAGGAUACUUGUAUCCGUAACAAUUACCUUUAACAGGGAAUUUAUUCUUCCUUUACACAGUAAUUUGGGGGAAAUGGGCUGGAUGGAACCAAAGCAAAGAAAGUAAAAGUUAAAGAGCCCCCUCUCUUAUUUUACCUAUUCUUAAU